CCUUGUACACACCGCCCGUCACACCAUGGGAGUCAAUUGCUCCAGAAGUCGGUGCGCUACAGCGCCGCCCAAGGAGUGAUUGGUAACUGGGGUG
This 94-nucleotide ribosomal RNA is filed under the name uncultured bacterium. RNAcentral describes it as "partial 16S ribosomal RNA". It matches the Rfam family "Bacterial small subunit ribosomal RNA", at positions 1379 to 1482 of the family's 1533-position model. The record is from RNAcentral.